This is a non-coding RNA of Acanthosepion pharaonis, 111 nucleotides long. The record is from the annotation of a GenBank genome assembly. Lineage: Eukaryota; Metazoa; Mollusca; Cephalopoda; Sepiida; Sepiidae.
UUACGCUCAUAUCACGUUGAAACACCGGUUCUCUUACGAUCACCAAAGUUAAGCAAGGUCGAGCCUGGUCAGUAUCGAGAUGGGUGACGGUGUGGGAAUAUCAGCUGUUAU